Non-coding RNA from Podarcis lilfordi (Lilford's wall lizard), 70 nucleotides. NCBI's taxonomy places the organism in Eukaryota, Metazoa, Chordata, Lepidosauria, Squamata, Lacertidae. The record is from the annotation of a GenBank genome assembly.
GCUGUUGCUCAGAGGUAAGAGGAUCUGCUUUGCAUACAGAAGGUCCCAGGUUCAAUCUCUGACAUCUCCA